ACUCCUACGGGAGGCAGCAGUGGGGAAUAUUGGACAAUGGGCGAAAGCCUGAUCCAGCAAUGCCGCGUGUGUGAAGAAGGCCUGAGGGUUGUAAAGCACUUUCAGUGAGGAGGAAAAGCUCAUCGCUAAUAUCGAUGAGUCUUGACGUUACUCACAGAAGAAGCACCGGCUAACUCCGUGCCAGCAGCCGCGGUAAUACGGAGGGUGCGAGCGUUAAUCGGAAUUACUGGGCGUAAAGCGCGCGUAGGCGGUAAGUUAAGUUAGCUGUGAAAGCCCCGGGCUUAACCUGGGAAUUGCAGUUAAUACUGGCUCACUAGAGUCUGGUAGAGGGUAGUGGAAUUCCGGGUGUAGCGGUGAAAUGCGUAGAUAUCCGGAGGAACACCAGUGGCGAAGGCGACUACCUGGACCAAGACUGACGCUGAGGUGCGAAAGCGUGGGGAGCAAACAGGAUUAGAUACCCCAGUAGUCC
RNAcentral lists this ribosomal RNA (469 nucleotides) under uncultured bacterium. RNAcentral's name for it is "bacterial SSU rRNA". It matches the Rfam family "Bacterial small subunit ribosomal RNA", at positions 335 to 796 of the family's 1533-position model. The record is from RNAcentral.